Molecule: long non-coding RNA, 413 nt
Filed under: Zonotrichia albicollis (white-throated sparrow)
Lineage: Eukaryota; Metazoa; Chordata; Aves; Passeriformes; Passerellidae
Description: lncRNA (ENSZALG00000007760.1)
Source: RNAcentral
AAUCUCGCCUGACGGGGCAGGAAGAGGCACCGGGAGGGGGAGGAGGCACCGAGGCGGCGGCGCUGCCGGUCGGUAACCUCAGCGCUUCCUCCCGGCAGGGCGCCUUUCCCGCGGCGCCGAGGAUGCUGCCCUGACCCCGCAGCCCGGGCAGGUGUCCCCAGGUGCCAGGCAUGGCUGUGUCCCCCGGAGGGAUCCCCGCCGAGCUGCAAGAGGGCAUCACCACCUUCCUGGGGACAAAGAAGGUGCUCCUGGUGCUGAGCAUCCAGCUGCAGGUGAAAUCCAAGUAUGAUGACUUUAUCUUGGUCCUGACACCCUGGCGAGCCUAUGUGCUGCCUGUGAUGCUGCCAGUGAGGGUAAGUGUGGGGACCCUGGUACAGUCCUUGUGGGGCCUGGGGCACUGGAGGGAGUGACCC